GACGAACGCUGGCGGCGUGCUUAACACAUGCAAGUCGAACGGAAAGGCCCUGCUUUUGUGGGGUGCUCGAGUGGCGAACGGGUGAGUAACACGUGAGUAACCUGCCCUUGACUUUGGGAUAACUUCAGGAAACUGGGGCUAAUACCGGAUAGGAGCUCCUGCUGCAUGGUGGGGUUGGGAAAUUUUGGGCGGUUGGGGAUGGACUCGCGGCUUAUCAGCUUGUUGGUGGGGUAGUGGCUUACCAAGGCUUUGACGGGUAGCCGGCCUGAGAGGGUGACCGGCCACAUUGGGACUGAGAUACGGCCCAGACUCCUACGGGAGGCAGCAGUGGGGAAUAUUGCACAAUGGGCGGAAGCCUGAUGCAGCAACGCCGCGUGCGGGAUGACGGCCUUCGGGUUGUAAACCGCUUUCGCCUGUGACGAAGCGUGAGUGACGGUAAUGGGUAAAGAAGCACCGGCUAACUACGUG
Molecule: ribosomal RNA, 468 nt
Filed under: uncultured bacterium
Lineage: Bacteria
Description: partial 16S ribosomal RNA
Rfam family: Bacterial small subunit ribosomal RNA
Source: RNAcentral